RNAcentral lists this ribosomal RNA (354 nucleotides) under Triticum aestivum (bread wheat). Its description in RNAcentral is "partial small subunit ribosomal RNA". The record is from RNAcentral. Lineage: Eukaryota; Viridiplantae; Streptophyta; Magnoliopsida; Poales; Poaceae.
AUGUCAUACGGAGGCCGAUUAAUCCUGAUUAAUUCGGUGCUCACGAGUAUGCCAAUGUUUCUCCUAUCGUUUUUUGAGGUCCCAGUUGGUGUUAGGAAGAGACUAGACUUCUAUCGAUCGUGUUUCUUUUGGCAGGGUGAUGAGCUUAAAAGAAAAUAUCGGCUUGCUAAAUGGGAUAUCAUCUGUAGACCGAGAGACCAAGGGGGUCUAGGUAUUGAGAAUCUAGAAGUUAAGAAUAAAUGCCUUCUUAGCAAGUGGCUGUGGAAGCUCUCAUCGGAGACUGAUGCUAUGUGGGCUCAAAUCCUUCGCAGCAAGUACCUCCAGACAAAAACUUUGUCCCAGGUUACAGUCAGG